AUUGAACGCUGGCGGCAUGCCUUACACAUGCAAGUCGAACGGUAACAGGUCUUUCGGGAUGCUGACGAGUGGCGAACGGGUGAGUAAUACAUCGGAACGUGCCUAGUAGUGGGGGAUAACUACUCGAAAGAGUGGCUAAUACCACAAGAGAUCUAUGGAGGAAAGCAGGGGACCUUGGGGCUUUGUGCUACUAGAGCGGCCGAUGGCAGAUUAGGUAGUUGGUGGGAUAAAAGCUUACCAACCCUACGAUCUGUAGCUGGUCUGAGAGGACGAGCAGCCACACUGGGACUGAGACACGGCCCAGACUCCUACGGGAGGCAGCAGUGGGGAAUUUUGGACAAUGGGCGCAAGCCUGAUCCAGCCAUGCCGCGUGUAGGAUGAAGGCCUUCGGGUUGUAAACUGCUUUUGUACGGAACGAAGAGACUUGGGUUAAUACCCUGGGAUAAUGACGGUACCGGAAGAAUAAGCACCGGCUAACUCCGUG
This 484-nucleotide ribosomal RNA is filed under the name uncultured bacterium. Its description in RNAcentral is "partial 16S ribosomal RNA". It matches the Rfam family "Bacterial small subunit ribosomal RNA", at positions 30 to 507 of the family's 1533-position model. The record is from RNAcentral.